This 197-nucleotide ribosomal RNA is filed under the name Candidatus Woesebacteria bacterium RIFOXYD1_FULL_33_11. RNAcentral describes it as "partial 23S ribosomal RNA". It matches the Rfam family "Bacterial large subunit ribosomal RNA", at positions 2723 to 2912 of the family's 2925-position model. The record is from RNAcentral. Lineage: Bacteria; Candidatus Woeseibacteriota.
GUGACAUCAGUCGCAGCGCCGAGUAGCUAUAUUCCUAAGGGAUAACCGCUGAAAGCAUCUAAGCGGGAAGCCCACCUAAAGAUUAGAACUCGUUUUCCUUAAUCGGAAUGAAGACCCCUAGAAGAAUACUAGGUAUAGUCGGGAGUAAGUGGAAGUCCUGUAAAGGAUUAAGCUUAACUUUACGAAUUGGUCGAAGG